AAACAUAGAAGUUUGGUCCUGGCCUUUUUAUGAAUUCUCAGUAAAAUUACACAUACAAGCAUCCCCGCCCCAGUGAGAAAAUGCCCUCCAGAUCACCUGGUUCAAAAGAAGGAGGUAUCAAGCACGCAUAAACGCAGCUCAAAACACUUUGCUCGACCACACCCCACGGGAAACAGCAGUGAUAAAUUUUAAGUCAUAAGUGAAAGUAUGACUAACCUAUAUUAAUAUUUAGGGUUGGUAAAUUUUGUGCCAGCCACCGCGGCCAUACGAUUAACCCAAGCUAAUAAAACUCGGUAUAAAGAGUGUUUAAGGUCCGCAGUCAAUAAAGUUAAGCUCCAUCUAAAUCGUAAAAAUCUCCAGCUGAAAUAAAAUAUACUACUAAAGUGACUUUAAUGUCCUGAGGACACAACAGCUAAGGCACAAACUGAGAUUAGAAACCCCACUAUGCUUAGCCCUAAACACAAAUAGUUAUAUUAACAAGACUGUUCGCCAGAGUACUACAUGCAGCAGCUUAAAACUCAAAGGACUUGGCGGUGCUUUACAGCCUUCUAGAGGAGCCGGUUCUAUAAUUGAUAAACCCCGACAUACCUCACCACCUCUUGUCACUCAGCCUAUAUAACACCAGCUUCAGCAAACCCUAAUAUAUAUAUAUAUAUAUAUAGUAAACACAAGUAUGCACUAGGUCAAGGUGUAGUCCAUGGGAUGGUAAGAAAUGGGCUACAUUUUCUACAUCCAGAAAAAACUCACAAUAACCUUCAUGAAAUCUAAAUGUUCGAAGAGGAUUUAGUAGUAAAUCAAGAAAAGAGUGCUUGAUUGAAUAAGGCCAUAAGGCACGCACACAACGCCCAUCACCCUCCUCAAGUAGUGCUCUAGAAAUCACUAUUAUUAAUAAUUGCUUACACACAUACAGAGGAGAUAAGCCGUAACACGGUAAGUGUACUGGAAAGUGCACCUGGAUAAACCAAAGU
Molecule: non-coding RNA, 968 nt
Filed under: Gorilla gorilla gorilla (western lowland gorilla)
Lineage: Eukaryota; Metazoa; Chordata; Mammalia; Primates; Hominidae
Source: Rfam by way of RNAcentral